RNAcentral lists this ribosomal RNA (257 nucleotides) under uncultured bacterium. RNAcentral describes it as "partial 16S ribosomal RNA". It matches the Rfam family "Bacterial small subunit ribosomal RNA", at positions 793 to 1055 of the family's 1533-position model. The record is from RNAcentral.
GUCCUGGCCCUAAACGGUGCGCACUUGCUGUGGCGGAUUCGACCCGUCCGUGGCGAAGGAACCCGAUAAGUGCGCCGCCUGGGAGUACGGUCGCAAGAUUAAACUCAAGAAUUGACGGGCCUGCACAAGCGGUGGAGUAUGUGGCUUAAUUCGAUGCAACGCGAAGAACCUUACCUGGCCUUGACAUGCACGUGGUAGAAGCGUGAAAGCGCAACGACCCCGCAAGGGAGCGUGCACAGGUGCUGCAUGGCUGUCGU